Molecule: non-coding RNA, 567 nt
Organism: Chelonoidis abingdonii (Abingdon island giant tortoise)
Lineage: Eukaryota; Metazoa; Chordata; Testudines; Testudinidae
Source: RefSeq, a predicted model, not a curated record
CAAAUAAUGUUACUGAUGCAGUACAAGAAUGAAAUAAUUGGUGUGGAAGACCUCCCAUGGUACGCUGCUCCGUAACCACUCAGCGGUGUAACGAGUCUCCUGGAAACUGUGAGGUGGGAGAUGGAAAUGUGUUCCAUGCACAAAUCUAGCCCCUUUCAGGCCCCCUGAUCUCUACUGGCUGCAGUACCUCCACAGCUCACCUACACUGCAGUACAAGUUUGGGCAAUGCAGCUUCACUGACCAUUUCAAGAGGAAGCAUUUCUGUGAUGAACUUAUGGUUGAAGUUCCUGACAGGACCAGUACUAAAACCAGAAGGACUUACAGCUAGAGAAAAGGCAUGGUGAGAGACAAGAGGACAGGCUGAGGCUGGCUGCAUAGCUUGAAGAUGGGGUUUCAGCAUGGGAGCAGGCACUUCCUUUGCAGUUCCUGAAACAGGAACCAUGGCUAAAGGAGGAGGACAGAGCUCAACAGAAAGAACUGUUUGAGUGGCUGUGGUAAUUUAGCCUCCCAGUCCCAGACCUGAACUUUAGCAUCCACAAUCUGGUCCUGUCCCAAACCUGGACUUUA